AAUAGAUACCCAGGUAGUCCACGCCGUAAACGAUGAGUGCUAAGUGUUGGAGGGUUUCCGCCCUUCAGUGCUGCAGCUAACGCAUUAAGCACUCCGCCUGGGGAGUACGGUCGCAAGACUGAAACUCAAAGGAAUUGACGGGGGCCCGCACAAGCGGUGGAGCAUGUGGUUUAAUUCGAAGCAACGCGAAGAACCUUACCAGGUCUUGACAUCUCCUGACCGCCCUGGAGACAGGGUCUUCCCUUCGGGGACAGGAUGACAGGUGGUGCAUGGUUGUCGUCAGCUCGUGUCGUGAGAUGUUGGGUUAAGUCCCGCAACGAGCGCAACCCUUGGUUCUAGUUGCCAGCAUUCAGUUGGGCACUCUAGAGCGACUGCCGGCGAUAAGUCGGAGGAAGGUGGGGAUGACGUCAAAUCAUCAUGCCCCUUAUGACCUGGGCUACACACGUGCUACAAUGGAUGGUACAAAGGGCAGCGAAGCGGCGACGCAUGAGCGAAUCCCAGAAAACCAUUCUCAGUUC
This 518-nucleotide ribosomal RNA is filed under the name uncultured bacterium. RNAcentral's name for it is "bacterial SSU rRNA". It matches the Rfam family "Bacterial small subunit ribosomal RNA", at positions 777 to 1294 of the family's 1533-position model. The record is from RNAcentral.